RNAcentral lists this non-coding RNA (23 nucleotides) under Cricetulus griseus (Chinese hamster). Lineage: Eukaryota; Metazoa; Chordata; Mammalia; Rodentia; Cricetidae. The record is from RNAcentral.
UCCAGUAGGCGCUGUGCUGUGUA